AAACCAUGAUGGGGGCAAAGCCUAAGCAUUUCUUUGAAACGCUCCCACGCAUCCUAAAGAGAUUCACCAUCUUUUUGAGUGUGUUGUACCCUGAUUUU
Small nucleolar RNA from Medicago truncatula (barrel medic), 98 nucleotides. It matches the Rfam family "Plant small nucleolar RNA R71". Rfam says of the family: R71 is a member of the C/D box family of snoRNAs containing the C (UGAUGA) and D (CUGA) box motifs. Multiple nearly identical copies of this snoRNA have been identified in Arabidopsis, and it is thought to function as a 2'-O-ribose methylation guide for 18S ribosomal RNA. Lineage: Eukaryota; Viridiplantae; Streptophyta; Magnoliopsida; Fabales; Fabaceae. The record is from Rfam.